RNAcentral lists this ribosomal RNA (324 nucleotides) under uncultured eukaryote. RNAcentral describes it as "partial 18S ribosomal RNA". It matches the Rfam family "Eukaryotic small subunit ribosomal RNA", at positions 1470 to 1796 of the family's 1831-position model. The record is from RNAcentral.
CCCUUAGAUGUUCUGGGCUGCACGUGCGCUACACUGAUGCGAUCAACAAGUUUUUCCUAUGUCGAUAGACACGGGUAAUCUUUUGAACUCGCAUCGUGAUGGGGAUAGAUUAUUGUAAUUAUUAAUCUUCAACGAGGAAUUCCUAGUAGGUGCAAAUCAUCAGUUUGCAUCGAUUACGUCCCUGCCCUUUGUACACACCGCCCGUCGCUGCUACCGAUUGGUUGAUCUGGUGAAUUAUUCGGACUGCCGGCUGAAGGGGUUUCCUCAUCUGCCAGCGGAAAGUCUUGUUAACCCUAUCAACUAGAGGAAGCAGAAGUCGUAACA